GACGAACGCUGGCGGCGUGCUUAACACAUGCAAGUCGAACGGAAAGGCCCUGCUUUUGUGGGGUGCUCGAGUGGCGAACGGGUGAGUAACACGUGAGUAACCUGCCCUUGACUUUGGGAUAACUUCAGGAAACUGGGGCUAAUACCGGAUAUGAGCUCCUGCUGCAUGGUGGGGGUUGGAAAGUUUCGGCGGUUGGGGAUGGACUCGCGGCUUAUCAGCUUGUUGGUGGGGGAGUGGCUUACCAAGGCUUUGACGGGUAGCCGGCCUGAGAGGGUGACCGGCCACAUUGGGACUGAGAUACGGCCCAGACUCCUCCGGGAGGCAGUAGGGGGGAAUAUUGCACAAUGGGGGGAAGCCUGAUGCAGCACCGCCGCGUGCGGGAUGCCGGCCUUCGGGUUGUAAACCGCUUUCGCAGGUGACGAAGCGUGAGUGACGGUAAUGGGUAAAGAAGCACCGGCUAACUACGUG
RNAcentral lists this ribosomal RNA (468 nucleotides) under uncultured bacterium. RNAcentral's name for it is "partial 16S ribosomal RNA". It matches the Rfam family "Bacterial small subunit ribosomal RNA", at positions 28 to 507 of the family's 1533-position model. The record is from RNAcentral.